RNAcentral lists this small RNA (497 nucleotides) under Tricholomopsis flammula. RNAcentral's name for it is "eukaryotic LSU rRNA". The stretch from base 176 to 329 matches the Rfam family "5.8S ribosomal RNA". The record is from RNAcentral. Lineage: Eukaryota; Fungi; Basidiomycota; Agaricomycetes; Agaricales.
GGUGAACCUGCGGAAGGAUCAUUAAUGAAUUGCUAGAAGGUUGUUGCUGGCUCCUAUGGGGGCAUGUGCACACCUUUUAUCUUUCUUUCCACCUGUGCACUGUUUGUAGGCCUAGCCUAUGAUUUUACAUACUCAUUAACAUAUGUGUAAUGGUUGGCUCAUAAUAUAAAAAUACAACUUUCAACAAUGGAUCUCUUGGUUCUCGCAUCGAUGAAGAACGCAGCGAAAUGCGAUAAGUAAUGUGAAUUGCAGAUCUCAGUGAAUCAUCGAAUCUUUGAACGCACCUUGCGCUCUUUGGUAUUCCAAAGGGCAUGCCUGUUUGAGUGUCAUUAAAUUCUCAAUGCAAUGCCUUGUGCUCUGCAUUGGAUUUGAAGAUUGCUGGCUUACAUCAGAGUCAGCUUCUUUGAAAUGCAUUAGUAGGAUCAUCAUGCUGGAUCGAUACAGGUGUGAUAAGUUAUCACCAUCUGAGAUUAGGCAAAAGAACCUGCUCAUAACAA